GUAGGGUGCGAGCGUUAAUCGGAAUUACUGGGCGUAAAGCGUGCGCAGGCGGUUUUUUAAGAUAGGCGUGAAAUCCCCGGGCUCAACCUGGGAACUGCGCUUAUGACUGGAAGACUCGAGUAUGGCAGAGGGGGGUGGAAUUCCACGUGUAGCAGUGAAAUGCGUAGAGAUGUGGAGGAACACCGAUGGCGAAGGCAGCCCCCUGGGCCAAUACUGACGCUCAUGCACGAAAGCGUGGGGAGCAAAC
RNAcentral lists this ribosomal RNA (247 nucleotides) under uncultured Rhodocyclaceae bacterium. RNAcentral describes it as "partial 16S ribosomal RNA". It matches the Rfam family "Bacterial small subunit ribosomal RNA", at positions 527 to 773 of the family's 1533-position model. Lineage: Bacteria; Pseudomonadati; Pseudomonadota; Betaproteobacteria; Rhodocyclales; Rhodocyclaceae. The record is from RNAcentral.